Molecule: regulatory RNA element, 100 nt
Rfam family: 23S methyl RNA motif
Source: Rfam
CGUUCGGGAGCGGAUGUCGAGAAAUCGUCAGCCACUGUCGAAUUUGCACUUCAUUAACGCAGUUCCUCGCCGUGUUGACACCGAGGGGUUGCGUUUUUUU